GUAUAAAUCUGGCAGGGGAGAUACUAUGAUCACAGAGGUGGUUUUCCUACCUUUGAGGCUCAUCCAUUGCACUCUGGAUGAGCUGACACCUGCGAUUUCCCCAAAUGCGGGAAAGUCGACUGUAUAAUUUGUGGAAUCUCUAGCCUAUGGGCCGAACUAGAU
Rhineura floridana is the source of this 162-nucleotide small nuclear RNA. RefSeq annotates it as U1 spliceosomal RNA. The record is from RefSeq and is a predicted model, not a curated record. The transcript has a single exon. NCBI's taxonomy places the organism in Eukaryota, Metazoa, Chordata, Lepidosauria, Squamata, Rhineuridae.